CAAAAGCAGAACAAUUGUCAAUUGUGAGUGUGGAUGGUGAUAACAUGUUGAGCACCUCCUUUUAGAGAGAUAUUACCAUUAUUGUUUGUGUACUCCAAAGCAUUCCAAUCCCAGAGGUCAAGAAACUCAAGUGAAGGGACGUAACUAGAUUGUCAUAUGAAUUGGUAAGAUGUGAAACUCACUCAAAUUGUUGGUGUUCUACUGCAUAUGAAUAUCAGAAAAAAUCAGAACUCCAAACAAAGUAGAUCAAUUUAAACAAAAUGAAUGGGAAGUAAUAAAUUAAAUAUUAAGAAUUCUUAACACGCUUGCAUAUGCAUAUGAGAAUCAGGAAAACAGAACUAUAGAAAAAGUAUAACACUCUUAUAACAUUGUAAAAUAAUAACAAGAAAAUUUGAAGCCAUCAAAAAAUAGGAAAAAGACUGCAUUGUAAACCUGAAACAUUGUUGAUGGCAUGCUCAAAUUAGAGAGACUAGGAGUAGUUUAUGAAUCAGCCAAUAUGAAUCAGCCAAUCUUUGCUAGUCGAUAUCUCAAGUGGGCCCUUUGGUGUAGUUCUAGAUUCUCUUGGAUAAAAAUUUGAACUGAAAUGAGCCUUAUUGCUCCAACCACUCCCCUAACCACAGGAUUUACACAUGGACAGGCUAACCCUUCCAUGUUUAUAUGACACUUAUAACACAAUUGCAGGAAUUAUAGAAAUCUUAGGCCAGUCUUAACCUUUUCCUUUUGUCAUGUUUCUAGUAAGUAUAACAACAGUGGAUUGUGACUUUUUGUAAAGUGCUCAUAGGCAGAUCCCUUCUCACCACCAUUUCAAUCAGAGCAGUUAGCAAUCUAAAGCCUCAAUUUUCAAGACAACUUAAGGCUUCAAGGGUUGUAAGACAAAGAAAUUAGGCUACCCCCUCCCCCCACUACCAUUUCAAUCAGAGCAGUUAGCCAUUUAAAGCCUCAAUUUUCAAGACAACUUAAGGCUUAAAGGGUUGUAAGACAGAAAAAUUAGGCUACCUCCCCUAUGCAUUUUCAAUAACGUGGGAGAAAUGAGGUGCUAGAUAGUAGGAGAUAUAUUAGUCUAUGACAAUUCUCACUUUCUAGUUACCUUAAAAGGUGAGGUGGCAACACUAGGAGACAUAUUAGAGAGUUGAGACAACUGCUUCAAUAUCCAGUUUUUCUUUGACUUGGCAACAAUUACAUCUCAAAUAAAAGUUAACCCAAAUUUCCAAAACUUGUAGAAUGGCGAACGAAGUAACAAGAUCUUAUAUUGACUUAUAGUCAUCCAGGUACAAAGCACUAGCAAGUUAUAUCUUUGAAGAUACAAAUUUCUAAAUUUACUAAUCUAAUGAAUUAAUGAAAGAGGUGAAAAAUGACAAAAAUUACACAAUUACUUUGUCCAAAAACUAUUAAUUAACAGAAUUAGACUCUUAACAGAUGUUGCUCAUUUUCAAUACUUGGUUAAUGAUUUCUAGCCAAACGAUCCCUAUAUUGCUCAUAAAGGGACAGUCCUAUACCUAAAAAAAAUUACAAAUAGGGUGGAAUAAUAAGGAAGUCUUUUGCCUAGUUUUGUUUGGUUAGAAUGACAUUUUAAAAAUAAUUAAAGGCAUAGUGAUAGACUUUUGUUUUGUCUAUGCUAAUACACAUAGGGAAAAGACAAGAGAACUACUCUACAAAAUUUACACUUAAUGUUUGUGACUUGUUCAAUUUGAUUACAGUCCUAGUAAAUAUGAGAAAUAACAAAUGAGCACAACAGUCUUAACAGAUUGAUAAUUAAAUUAAAAAAUAAUACAACCAUCCAUAGUGGGGAGAUUACCUAAAAUAUAUGGUACAAAGCAUCUAGGAUUGAAAAAGAUAGCAGGAAUUCUUUCUACAUCAGACAUCUAUAAAUAUGAAUUUCAGGGGAAUGAGAAAUGUUUAAGCCAGUUCAAAACUUGUUACCUUCUUGAAGUGCUUUCAAGCUCAAACAGGCUACUGUAGGGAGUGAUUUCACGUUGGGCCAAGGACUAAUCACAAGCUUCUUAAGUAAGGUGCAAUCUGUGACAAAAUACUAAAUAAAUCAACCUUAGCAUUUUCCUAAACACUCAGAAAGCAAAAAUUAAAGUAACAUAAUUACUUGGUACAUGGUAUAAGUAUUUGAUUGCAUAAAAUGCAAACAUAAAAAACAAAAUUGUUAUUUUCUAUACAUGCUAAUGAAUACAAAGAAUUAUCAAGGCAGAACUGUAAAUACAACAUACUGAUUGGAAAAUAGUAAAUAUGAAGCUAUAAAAAUGAGAUGACAUCUUGAGAAUUUAGACCUGAAGUAGCUUUCUGUACUAGUCUUUGUAGGGCGCUAAGGGAAUGCAUCUCUUCUGGCAGUGAUAUAAGGGCAAGAAUAAAUUCAAAGCUCCAUAGGUGCUAUAAGCCUGCAUAUCCAAUCUGGUAAUGUUAUCAAUUGAGACCAGUGAAGAAAGAGUCUGAUGCAAGUAAGAGAAGUCUUUACCUUUGCACCAACCCUCAAUAGCUUUUUUCCAAGGCAUGGGCAAUAUUCAGCCCAUCCUCACCAUCAUCCUUAUUUGCAAUGGCAUAUAAGAAACCAUUGGGCCAAUGAAUAACCAUGAGUUUCUUAAACAAGGUGAAAUCUGCAAGAAAAUAGUAAUCAAAUCAACCCUAGCAUUUUCCCGAACUCUUGUAAUGCAAAACUUAAAGAGUAAUAUGAUUAGCUUGGUCCUCAAUGACCAUUUAAUGACUUGUCUAAAUUGUACAUUGAUUUAAUGAUGCAAACCUUUCAACUUAGUGACUUCUUCAAAAUUAUAAUUUUAUCAAAUAAUUUGGCAGUAAAUAAUAAAAAUUGCAGCUAUUAAAAACAAGAAGAAACAUUGAAUUGUAAAACUGAAAUAUAUUGUAGAUGACAUGCUUGAAUUAAAGAAUAUCCUUCAUGAAUCAAUCAUCCAUUACCGGUCAGUAUCAAUUCUGGAAACAUUGAAAAACUGAGGAGCACAGUGAUUCAAAUUCAGGGCAGACAACAUUUUGUAGCUCAUUAAGAGAUCUUUGGAUGCUUAUCCAAUCUGAUAAAGUUGCUAAACAAGAACAGUAUUUUAAGAAUUUCCAGAAUGGUAACAUUUUGAGGCAUCAAUGAUGGAGGCACCAACUCAAGCUUCUGAGUCCUUGCAAUUUGCACGUGAACCUCAUCCCCAUUAUCUGACAAAAGAAGUUGCCUACAACAUUUAUUCAAGGUCUCAAAGUUAAUAUUGAAUCCACUGGUGGAGAUGUCCAAGCACUACCAUUAUCACUUUUUACAGCAAACUGAAAACAAUUAUGUGUAAUAAAACCAUUAACCUAUUCCAAACAUAAAAUAGAAAGAUCAUUUCAGCAAAGAAUUAUAAUAGUUAAUUUUAACCAUGAAAAUAAACAUCAUUAGUAAUUGAUAUCUUUAAAGAUAUGAUUUUCAAGCCAAACAAGUUCAACUAAAUUAUAAUACAUGAUGACUAAAUCAUAAUAUCAAUGGACUACUAUUUCUCUCUAUUCUAACGCUAUCAAUGGCUAACAUAAUAAUCAAGUGUAUUUAUCUAUGUUGUGUUUUGGUUUGAGUUGAUAUUGUAGAAAAUAGUAUAAAGCAUAGCAAUAGACUACCAUUUUGUCCAUCCUAAUACAUACACAGAGAGUAGAGAUAAGACAAGUAGUAUAGACAUUUUUUUCCUUUAUAUGAUCCAUUAAUAAAAAAAAUUAUCAAUGAGCAUAACACCCUUAACAUAUCGAUGGUAAAAUUUAUGAUGCUGCAGCCAUCCCUACUGGGAGAAGGAUUACCAGAAAUAUACAUGCCCACUAGCAGACCUGAAUUAAAAACAGAGCAAAAGUCCUUUCUGCACUAGUCAUCUAGUAGAUA
RNAcentral lists this long non-coding RNA (3844 nucleotides) under Vitis vinifera (wine grape). RNAcentral's name for it is "long non-coding RNA (VVIN_LNC006697)". The record is from RNAcentral. Lineage: Eukaryota; Viridiplantae; Streptophyta; Magnoliopsida; Vitales; Vitaceae.